Stylophora pistillata is the source of this 484-nucleotide long non-coding RNA. RefSeq lists it as uncharacterized. The record is from RefSeq and is a predicted model, not a curated record. NCBI's taxonomy places the organism in Eukaryota, Metazoa, Cnidaria, Anthozoa, Scleractinia, Pocilloporidae.
CCAGAUGUGCCCAAUCUAUUCAAUGAACAGAGCAUAGUAGAAAAUUUAAAAGUGAUCGCCGAGACAUUUAUCAAUCACAAUUUCUGAGCAAACACCGGAGAAACAUACGAGAAACACCCGCCAUGAAUCGAACAACAGCAAUAUUUGGUAUUCUCCUCAUAUUUGUUGUGAUGCAUGAACUGAAAGGCUUCACCGCUGGUAUUGGCAAUGCAGGACUCGGAAAACGUGACUACGUUUCGAAGGCUCGCAGAGAACUACAGAUGGUCUGCCAUUACGUAAGAAGCAUAGCCAUUCACAAGAGGUCUGGGGAAAGAGAGCAUCAAACGCCGCUCCAAAUAAGGGAGAUUUGUGCUCUGUGACGUCACCGACGAAAGUGUUUGGCAAUUUCAGAUCAUGUACAUUAUAAAUGGAUCAAAGCGCUCCUUUUUUUUUAGAGUUGAUUUGUGUAAAAUAAAGCAAAAAGACUGUUAAGUUUCAUGAUAAA